GAUGAACGCUGGCGGCGUGCCUAAUACAUGCAAGUCGAGCGAACAGACGAGGAGCUUGCUCCUCUGACGUUAGCGGCGGACGGGUGAGUAACACGUGGAUAACCUACCUAUAAGACUGGGAUAACUUCGGGAAACCGGAGCUAAUACCAGAGAAUAUAUUGAACCGCAGGGUUCAAUAGUGAAUGACGGUUUUGCUGUCACUUAUAGAUGGAUCCGCGCUGCAUUAGCUAGUUGGUAAGGUAACGGCUUACCAAGGCAACGAUGCGUAGCCGACCUGAGAGGAUGAUCGGCCACACUGGAACUGAGACACGGUCCAGACUCCUACGGGAGGCAGCAGUAGGGAAUCUUCGGCAAUGGGCGGAAGCCUGACGGAGCAACGCCGCGUGAGUGAUGAAGGUCUUCGGAUCGUAAAGCUCUGUUAUUAGGGAAGAACAAAUGUGUAAGUAACUAUGGACGUCUUGACGGUACCUAAUCAGAAAGCCACGGCUAACUACGUG
RNAcentral lists this ribosomal RNA (497 nucleotides) under uncultured bacterium. RNAcentral describes it as "partial 16S ribosomal RNA". It matches the Rfam family "Bacterial small subunit ribosomal RNA", at positions 28 to 507 of the family's 1533-position model. The record is from RNAcentral.